Molecule: ribosomal RNA, 498 nt
Filed under: uncultured bacterium
Lineage: Bacteria
Description: partial 16S ribosomal RNA
Rfam family: Bacterial small subunit ribosomal RNA
Source: RNAcentral
ACUGAACGCUGGCGGCAUGCCUUACACAUGCAAGUCGAACGGCAGCGCGGGGCAACCUGGCGGCGAGUGGCGAACGGGUGAGUAAUAUAUCGGAACGUACCCAAGAGUGGGGGAUAACGUAGCGAAAGUUACGCUAAUACCGCAUACGAUCUACGGAUGAAAGCAGGGGAUCUUCGGACCUUGUGCUCCUGGAGCGGCCGAUAUCUGAUUAGCUAGUUGGUGAGGUAAAGGCUCACCAAGGCGACGAUCAGUAGCUGGUCUGAGAGGACGACCAGCCACACUGGAACUGAGACACGGUCCAGACUCCUACGGGAGGCAGCAGUGGGGAAUUUUGGACAAUGGGCGCAAGCCUGAUCCAGCAAUGCCGCGUGAGUGAAGAAGGCCUUCGGGUUGUAAAGCUCUUUUGUCAGGGAAGAAACGGCGGUGGCUAAUAUCCACUGCUAAUGACGGUACCUGAAGAAUAAGCACCGGCUAACUACGUGCCAGCCGCCGCCGUAA